Molecule: transfer RNA, 64 nt
Filed under: Stheneboea repudiosa
Lineage: Eukaryota; Metazoa; Arthropoda; Insecta; Phasmatodea; Lonchodidae
Description: tRNA-Phe
Source: RNAcentral
UUUUAUAUAGCUUAUUUAGAGUGUAAUAUUGAAGAUAUUAAGGUGAAAUUUAUUUCUAUAAAAU